UGCAGACAAGAAAAUGAGAAACAUACAUAUGGAACAAUUCUUCUUUCAUGGAAACGUUCGAUUCUCUACUCAUCAUUCAUCAUUGUCACGGUUUACUUCACCAGUGAUUGCAUCUCAAGUCGCUGUCGCUGUUCUGCUUCUUUCUCUCUGGCUUCUACUUCUCUUACAAGCUUAGGCAUGCUUGUUGAUUGCUGAUGCGGAAACACACCAAGCACACAAAAUCAAAAGCCACACUGUUCCUAGCAAAUGCUCAUCUAGAUAUGAGAUAACAAAGAUUAAUCCACACUAAGCCAACUUGAGGGGGAACCAAAAAGGGGUUGUGCAUGUGGUGUCAUCAAAGCUUCAUGGCA
This 350-nucleotide long non-coding RNA is filed under the name Eucalyptus grandis. Its description in RNAcentral is "long non-coding RNA (EGRA_LNC007832)". The record is from RNAcentral. Lineage: Eukaryota; Viridiplantae; Streptophyta; Magnoliopsida; Myrtales; Myrtaceae.